RNAcentral lists this long non-coding RNA (282 nucleotides) under Carica papaya (papaya). RNAcentral's name for it is "long non-coding RNA (CPAP_LNC004182)". The record is from RNAcentral. Lineage: Eukaryota; Viridiplantae; Streptophyta; Magnoliopsida; Brassicales; Caricaceae.
GUAGAGACGCUGACGCGGGAGGGAGCUAUGUGGGCAAUCUGUGUGCAUGCAAUCGAACAUAUGAGAUCCGUUCCCGUGGGUACGGACGGCCCAGAUUGCAUCGCGCACAGACGAUGCAGAUUGAAUCACAUACGGACGGUCCAGAUUCAUUCCCUAUUUAAUCGCGAUAGGCCGGUCAAGAUUAAAAGCGAUGGACGGCUCAGAUCAAAAGCGGAUGGGUAUAAAUAACCUCAUCUGUACCCAAAUCCUAACCCUAGUUGCCAGAGCCCAUCGCCGGAGAAG